Molecule: ribosomal RNA, 253 nt
Filed under: uncultured bacterium
Lineage: Bacteria
Description: partial 16S ribosomal RNA
Rfam family: Bacterial small subunit ribosomal RNA
Source: RNAcentral
UACGUAGGUGGCAAGCGUUGUCCGGAAUUAUUGGGCGUAAAGAGCUCGUAGGCGGCCUGUUACGUCUGCUGUGAAAUCCCGGGGCUUAACCCCGGGCGUGCAGUGGAUACGGGCAGGCUGGAGGCAGGCAGGGGAGAACGGAAUUCCUGGUGUAGCGGUGAAAUGCGCAGAUAUCAGGAGGAACACCGGUGGCGAAGGCGGUUCUCUGGGCAUGUCCUGACGCUGAGGAGCGAAAGUGUGGGGAGCGAACAGG